UUCUAUCGUGCUGAAGGUUGGGAGGCUAUAUGAUGUCUUGAAUUUGGCCGAGACGCCUGGCCAUGGCUACGACCUCUCGGGAGAGCUACUGGUUUACCUCUACAAUCUCUGGCUCCCAUGUUUUUUGUGGUUGUACUAUGCUCCGGCCAUCGAGCCGGGGACGCCUAUUUGAAUUAUGGUGAUGAUGAUCAUCUGGUCACCUAAUUUCUAAAGCUUGUGUCGAAGAAUGUCACACGCUGGCCAGGUUAUUAGAGGUCCUGGUGCUAAUAUUUAGUCUUGGUAAUUGAUGGUUGAAGGAGCUCUUCGGCAUUGGAACCAAAAGAGGGGAGAUCCUAGUGUCGAGGAGGUGGCAGAGGAGACCCACGAUGUGUCCCAGACUCCCAGCAGGCAAAGGGCGUGACCAUGGAAGCUUGUCCCUUUCAAGGGAAGCUGGAAGGCGAAGACCACUUACAGCACUAAUCUGUUCCUUAAUUCUGCUGUAGAGAGAGCAGCAUCUGCGACGAUACCAUCUAUAGGUUGGGAGGCUACAGGAUAUCUUGAAUUUGACGGAGACACCCUGCCUUGGCUACGACCUCUCGGGCUAUUGAGCCAAGCGAGAGCUAGAUUCAGUUGCUGCUACUGGGCUUCUGCUAAACAGGGAGCCAGAAGAGCGUCGAGCCUGCUCGCAGCACAGGCAGGCACAACGGCUGUGAAGCGGGCUCAAGGUCGCCUAUGGCCAUGGAGCGGACAAUCUACAGAUUAUUCAUUCAUCCUUGAAUGAAAACGAACCAGCUGAUGUGUGUACUGUAAAAUCGGUUUGUUUGCUGCUGUUCUGCAGAGAGAGAUGGAAUUGAUCUCUGAUGCGAGCCGUGUUUGAUUUGGACGUGUAAUAUAUUUUCCCAGAAUUGAUUGUGUGCUGUUAUUUGAAUAUUUCCGCUAGUGUGCACAUGGUGUUGUGGCAUUAUUUCUAAAA
This is a long non-coding RNA of Lolium rigidum, 952 nucleotides long. RefSeq lists it as uncharacterized. The transcript has 5 exons. The record is from RefSeq and is a predicted model, not a curated record. NCBI's taxonomy places the organism in Eukaryota, Viridiplantae, Streptophyta, Magnoliopsida, Poales, Poaceae.